RNA transcript from Aegilops tauschii subsp. strangulata, 1349 nucleotides. RefSeq lists it as uncharacterized. Lineage: Eukaryota; Viridiplantae; Streptophyta; Magnoliopsida; Poales; Poaceae. The record is from RefSeq and is a predicted model, not a curated record.
GCCACCACCCCUCGCCCCACCGCCGCGCGCCACCACCCCUUGCGCCGCCGCCGCGCGCCACCAUCCCUCGCCCCGCGGCCGCGCGCCACCACUCCUCGGCCCCCCGCCGGGAGCCACCAUCCCUCGCCCCGUCGCCGCACGCCGGUAGCCCCCGCCCCAUGGCGAACCGCGCCUCAACCACCCCGACGACCUCCGCGUGAAGAUUUCCUCGGCGAGAUCCGACGUAUGCUUCUUCUGCGGGGUAGGAGGCGGAGGACGCAGCGGUGACUCCCACGCUAGGGAUGCAGAGGACACGCACGGCGCGCGACGCAAGAUGGUGGUCAUGGGUGGUGAUGCGCCUGUGCGCCGCCCCAUCCACGGCUGACCGCCGCUCGAAGCUGCCCCUGCACGCCGCCGACUCAUCCAGGCACUGCCCCCUGCUUCCUCCCAUGUGGCCUUCUUCCUCUGUCCACUACUGGCUCGUCGGCAGUUCUUCUUCGCCAACACCCGAAGAUGGAGAUGUGUGUAUGUAUACCUGUGUUCUGGAGAUAGGAGAACUUAUCUGGUGGUGUGUGCGUGCUGCUGCAUCCUCUUCCGGCCGCUCUAAUGCACACCCUCAGUACAACUUCUUUCGGUUCAAUUUAUAAAUUUCAUUCAGUUCGGCGAGGUGGAGAUUGGGGCGCGGUGGGGUGUGGCCUUGCGUGUGGAGACGGCCCGCCGCAACGUCACCGGCCGGAUCCCGCUCUUCAGUUGCUUAUAAGCUUGACAUCUUUGAUGAAUCCAGCCCGAACUGAAGCAUGUCGGCAAGCCGGGCGCUGGGCCAACCACUGUUGUCUGUCUACCUCCUUCCCCGUGCAGAGAAGUUACCCUGUUGCGGGCUGACCUGGAGGCUCCUUCUCCACGUCGACACAAUUGCAGGACCAACGUGCUACUGACCACGCAAGCUUUCUCAAGGAGUUCGUGUCCAACGAUACUGAAAGGAAAAAUGGAGUGAAAGUGCUACUCCUCCAGUUUUGAACUUCUUAUUCAGUCAUGCUAUUACUGAGUGAAAAAUGGAGUCAAAGUGUAUUGCAAUUGAUCUCUCUUAGACCCUGGCAAUCCUCUAUUUAUCCUUUGUUUGCUUGUCUUUUGGUCUGUAAUUCAAGAACUUUGACCUUCGUAAUUCGGUUUUUGGUUAAUUUAUUAUGCCCGGUACAAACCUUUAAAUCUGAAGAGGCUUCUAAUAGCAAGGAAAUGUGCAGCCGGUGUGGUGUAUAUGUCAUUCAUGUAUGAAAAUGUGCAGCCGGUGUGGUGUAUAUGUUAUUCAUGUACAUGUAUUAUAUGUGUGAAAAAAUUUCUGUAUAUGAUGAGAUGAUUGCUACUUCUUUAAA